RNAcentral lists this long non-coding RNA (897 nucleotides) under Capra hircus (goat). RNAcentral's name for it is "lncRNA (ENSCHIG00010021063.1)". Lineage: Eukaryota; Metazoa; Chordata; Mammalia; Artiodactyla; Bovidae. The record is from RNAcentral.
GAACAUUUAUUCAUACUUCUUGACAUAUCUCCCAAAUGCACACAUGCACAAUACCACAGGUACCCAGGCAAGUAUAUUCUGUUCAUCAAAUGGUCACUGAAUGUCUACUUUGAGCAAGGCCCUAAAUGAGACAGAUAAUUGUCUGCUCUUAGAAAAACAUCUCACAGGAAGGCCUGGCAGAUCCAGGCCCACAUGCACAAUUAUAUAACAAGAGAAGCCUACGUGCUAUCAAUGCCAUACACCACUCAGGUUAGAGAUGAAUGCUCUCCUGUUCCUGUCCCUACAUAGCCUUUUACUGGAAAUCUUCAUAUCUGGACAUUCCAGCCAUCUGGUAUCCCCCCAAUUCCUAUAUAUUGAUAAAGACACACCAAGUUCUUGUGCUUCUGGCCUUUCACCUGGGAGAAAAAGUUGAAAAAUCAAAAGCUAUAAUCUUACAACUCAUCACCACUGAUGGGUGUUUAAUGGUAUCCAAGACUUCUCUUUGAGAUGCUACCCCCAGCAAGCCUCCCUCCUCCAAGCAAGAACAAAUGGCUUCUGGCCAUCUUCAUGGCCAGUUUUACGCCGUCCACUUCAGUGCACUGCCAUUGUGUACCUGUGCAAUGUAUGUUUCACAGAUGGAAACAGGAUGCUACCCCUGGGCAAGGAAUCUCCUAUGAACCCAAAGGUUUUCAGUGGGGGAAGGAAUUAAGACAAUCACUGGUACAGUCUCACAGAAGGCACACUGGAAACAAUUACAUAAAGUUAUCAUGGAGGUGUGAACACCCAGAAACACGCUUCUCAGUUGCUUCCAUAACCCACGUUUGGAGAGCCAAAUGCUUGAAAGAGGUUUCUCUCUUAUCCCAUCCAGCCUCCUCAACAACCUUCACUGGAGCACCCAGAACAGUGUCCAGUGAGUGA